AACAUCAUCCUCAGCAAACUGACACAAGAACAGAAAAUGAAACACCGCAUAUUCUCACUCAUAGCCAACUCAAUACAGCACCUUCUAGGAAAAAACUUGAUUCCGCCACUGGGAACUGUGGUCUCAAACCUUCAUGCCAUGUGAAGAGCUCAACCUCUUCGAACUGCCAACAGAUUCACCAGUGGACAUUCACCAAAUGGACUCCCUUUGGAUCUUUCUAUCUAGAUCUAACUAAAGGACCAAUUCACUGAAAGAAUAACAAUCUAUUUUACACAUGGUGACUAUAGUUAAUAAUACAUUGUAUACUUGAAAAUUGCUAAAAGAGUAAAUCUUACAGGUUCCCAAUACAAAAAAUGAUAGGCAUGUGAGAUGAUAAAUACAUUAAUUAGCUUGACUUAACUGCUUCAAAAUAUAUACAUAUCAAAACAUCACUUUCUAGUCUAUAAAUAUGUACUAUUUUCAUUUGUAAAUUGUGCUGAAUAAAACAAAAAAUGUAAAUUUUAAUAGGUUUAUCAACAAAUAAACAUUAUAAAAUUUGUAAAAAUAAUAUACCUUUUGUUUUAAGGGGGAAAUCAAGAUUUUAAACUAUAAAAUACUUUCCAAAAUGUAUACCUAGUAGAUGACACUGAUGCUUAACAAUUAUCAAACUUAAUAUAUUUACUGGUUCAGAGGAAAAUUAGAAAAAUAAAGUCCCUGAGAAAGAUCAAUUGUUUCCUAGUCACAAUAUCACAUCUAGAGCAGAUCAAAACCCAAAUCAAAAAUGAAGUCCCUGUUAUCCCUGUAAAAGUCAAGUUACAGUACCACUUCUAUAAUUCUGCCUUUACUACUCAUCUUAAGCACUAUAGGAAUUGUUCUGAGAAAAACUGGCCUUAAUUAGAUUACUAUUACUCAACGUUGAAGUCUCUGGUCAGCACCAAUUGCACAAAUUUAAUUAUAAGACAGAGAGUAGUUCUAAUUCAGACCCCUGGAACUCUCUGUCCCUGGAAUCUUGGAAGACAUCUUCUUCCCUGAGUAUAGCUUUAGGUGUGAGUAGCUCUCUUUGAUUCCCCUUUCAGGCAGACUGUUCCAGGAUCACAGAUAAAUUAAGUCUUACGUUGAAUGUAACAAAGAUGUCCAAAAGGAAAUUGCCUAUGGCAUAGAAAAUAUUCAGAAAU
RNAcentral lists this long non-coding RNA (1154 nucleotides) under Callithrix jacchus (white-tufted-ear marmoset). Its description in RNAcentral is "lncRNA (ENSCJAG00000078237.1)". Lineage: Eukaryota; Metazoa; Chordata; Mammalia; Primates; Cebidae. The record is from RNAcentral.